UACGUAGGGGGCUAGCGUUGUCCGGAAUCAUUGGGCGUAAAGCGCGCGUAGGCGGCCCGGUAAGUCCGCUGUGAAAGUCAAAGGCUCAACCUUUGAAUGUCAGCGGAUACUGCCUGGCUAGAGUCCGGAAGAGGCGAGUGGAAUUCCUGGUGUAGCGGUGGAAUGCGCAGAUAUCAGGAGGAACACCAACGGCGAAGGCAGCUCGCUGGGACGGUACUGACGCUGAGGCGCGAAAGCGUGGGGAGCGAACAGG
Molecule: ribosomal RNA, 253 nt
Filed under: uncultured bacterium
Lineage: Bacteria
Description: partial 16S ribosomal RNA
Rfam family: Bacterial small subunit ribosomal RNA
Source: RNAcentral